AGGGAUGUCGCUCAGUGGUAGAGUGCUUGCCUAGCAUGCAAGAGGCCCUGGGUUCAAUUCCCAAUACCAUGA
This 72-nucleotide transfer RNA is filed under the name Ictidomys tridecemlineatus (thirteen-lined ground squirrel). Its description in RNAcentral is "Spermophilus tridecemlineatus (thirteen-lined ground squirrel) tRNA". It matches the Rfam family "tRNA". From Rfam's summary of the family: Transfer RNA (tRNA) molecules are approximately 80 nucleotides in length. Their secondary structure includes four short double-helical elements and three loops (D, anti-codon, and T loops). Lineage: Eukaryota; Metazoa; Chordata; Mammalia; Rodentia; Sciuridae. The record is from Rfam by way of RNAcentral.